CCUACGGGAGGCAGCAGUGAGGAAUAUUGGUCAAUGGUCGGGAGACUGAACCAGCCAAGCCGCGUGAGGGAGGAAGGUACAGAGUAUCGUAAACCUCUUUUGUCAGGGAACAAAGACUGGGACGCGUCCCCGGAUGAGUGUACCUGAAGAAAAAGCAUCGGCUAACUCCGUGCCAGCAGCCGCGGUAAUACGGGGGAUGCGAGCGUUAUCCGGAUUUAUUGGGUUUAAGGGGUGCGCAGGCGGUCUGUUAAGUCAGCGGUAAAGGCCCGGGGCUCAACCCCGGCCCGCCGUUGAAACUGGCAGUCUCGAGUUGGAGAGAAGUAUGCGGAAUGCGCGGUGUAGCGGUGAAAUGCAUAGAUAUCGCGCAGAACUCCGAUUGCGAAGGCAGCAUGCCGGCUCCACACUGACGCUGAGGCACGAAAGCGUGGGUAUCGAACAGGAUUAGAUACCCGUGUAGUC
RNAcentral lists this ribosomal RNA (459 nucleotides) under uncultured bacterium. RNAcentral describes it as "partial 16S ribosomal RNA". It matches the Rfam family "Bacterial small subunit ribosomal RNA", at positions 338 to 795 of the family's 1533-position model. The record is from RNAcentral.